GAGUUUGAUCCCNGGCUCAGGACGAACGCUGGCGGCGUGCCUAAUACAUGCAAGUCGAACGAACUCUGGUAUUGAUUGGUGCUUGCAUCAUGAUUUACAUUUGAGUGAGUGGCGAACUGGUGAGUAACACGUGGGAAACCUGCCCAGAAGCGGGGGAUAACACCUGGAAACAGAUGCUAAUACCGCAUAACAACUUGGACCGCAUGGUCCGAGUUUGAAAGAUGGCUUCGGCUAUCACUUUUGGAUGGUCCCGCGGCGUAUUAGCNNGAUGGUGGGGUAACGGCUCACCAUGGCAAUGAUANNNNAUNNNCCUGAGAGGGUAAUCGGCCACAUNNNNANAUAGACACGGCCCAAACUCCUACGGGAGGCAGCAGUAGGGAAUCUUCCACAAUGGACGAAAGUCUGAUGGAGCAACGAAAGAAGAACAUAUCUGAGAGUAACUGUUCAGGGUAUUGACGGUAUUUAACCAGAAAGCCACGGCUAACUACGUGCCAGCAGCCGCGGUAAUACGUAGGUGGCAAGCGUUGUCCGGAUUUAUUGGGCGUAAAGCGAGCGCAGGCGGUUUUUUAAGUCUGAUGUGAAAGCCUUCGGCUCAACCGAAGAAGUGCAUCGGAAACUGGGAAACUUGAGUGCAGAAGAGGACAGUGGAACUCCAUGUGUAGCGGUGAAAUGCGUAGAUAUAUGGAAGAACACCAGUGGCGAAGGCGGUCUGUCUGGUCUGUAACUGACGCUGAGGCUCGAAAGUAUGGGUASCAAACAGGAUUAGAUACCCUGGUAGUCCAUACCGUAAACGAUGAAUGCUAAGUGUUGGAGGGUUUCCGCCCUUCAGUGCUGCAGCUAACGCAUUAAGCAUUCCGCCUGGGGAGUACGGCCGCAAGGCUGAAACUCAAAGGAAUUGACGGGGGCCCGCACAAGCGGUGGAGCA
RNAcentral lists this ribosomal RNA (925 nucleotides) under Lactiplantibacillus plantarum subsp. plantarum. RNAcentral's name for it is "bacterial SSU rRNA". The record is from RNAcentral. Lineage: Bacteria; Bacillati; Bacillota; Bacilli; Lactobacillales; Lactobacillaceae.